UAAAGCGUGCGCAGGCGGUUUGUAAGACUGUCGUGAAAUCCCCGGGCUCAACCUGGGAAUGGCGAUGGUGACUGCAAGGCUAGAGUUUGGCAGAGGGGGGUAGAAUUCCACGUGUAGCAGUGAAAUGCGUAGAUAUGUGGAGGAACACCGAUGGCGAAGGCAGCCCCCUGGGUCAAAACUGACGCUCAUGCACGAAAGCGUGGGGAGCAAACAGGAUUAGAUACCCCUGU
RNAcentral lists this ribosomal RNA (230 nucleotides) under uncultured bacterium. RNAcentral describes it as "partial 16S ribosomal RNA". It matches the Rfam family "Bacterial small subunit ribosomal RNA", at positions 561 to 791 of the family's 1533-position model. The record is from RNAcentral.